Molecule: ribosomal RNA, 466 nt
Filed under: uncultured bacterium
Lineage: Bacteria
Description: partial 16S ribosomal RNA
Rfam family: Bacterial small subunit ribosomal RNA
Source: RNAcentral
GACGAACGCUGGCGGCGUGCUUAACACAUGCAAGUCGAGCGGAAAGGCCCUGCUUUUGUGGGGUGCUCGAGUGGCGAACGGGUGAGUAACACGUGAGUAACCUGCCCUUGACUUUGGGAUAACUUCAGGAAACUGGGGCUAAUACCGGAUAGGAGCUCCUGCUGCAUGGUGGGGGUUGGAAAGUUUCGGCGGUUGGGGAUGGACUCGCGGCUUAUCAGCUUGUUGGUGGGGUAGUGGCUUACCAAGGCUUUGACGGGUAGCCGGCCUGAGAGGGUGACCGGCCACAUUGGGACUGAGAUACGGCCCAGACUCCUACGGGAGGCAGCAGUGGGGAAUAUUGCACAAUGGGCGGAAGCCUGAUGCAGCAACGCCGCGUGCGGGAUGACGGCCUUCGGGUUGUAAACCGCUUUCGCCUGUGACGAAGCGUGAGUGACGGUAAUGGGGAAAGAAGCACCGGCUAACUACG